GAAAAGUUAGUUUAUUAUAAAACAUCAAUCUGUCAGAUUCAAGAAACUAAGUGAUGGUAUUUUUCU
This 66-nucleotide transfer RNA is filed under the name Magicicada cassinii (seventeen-year cicada). RNAcentral describes it as "Magicicada cassini (seventeen-year cicada) tRNA-Asp". The record is from RNAcentral. Lineage: Eukaryota; Metazoa; Arthropoda; Insecta; Hemiptera; Cicadidae. RNAcentral also lists the same sequence under 1 other name.